RNAcentral lists this long non-coding RNA (317 nucleotides) under Nicotiana benthamiana. Its description in RNAcentral is "long non-coding RNA (NBEN_LNC011771)". Lineage: Eukaryota; Viridiplantae; Streptophyta; Magnoliopsida; Solanales; Solanaceae. The record is from RNAcentral.
UCUGGGAUCUUUCCCCAUAGCUUUCUUUCUUUGUUCUUUAUCGCCUGAUCUUUCUUUUCGUUGUUGAAUCUCUCUUUGAUUAAUCAAUGUGUGAUAUUCCUUUCCAAGAUAAACCAUUCGAAUGCUACUAAACGAGAAGAAGAGUCUAUUUGAACAGGGCACAUGCAUCACACAUAAGAAAGACGCCGAAAGACAACCAAGAAAUUUGUCCGUUUCGGCCUACUUUGGCCUUUAUACGAUAAAGUACAUCAAGAAGCUUCUAAUUGCAAUAGAAGGGUCCAGGUCAGAAUUUGCAGGUAGUUAGUCGCUUUCUCUGU